RNAcentral lists this ribosomal RNA (495 nucleotides) under uncultured bacterium. RNAcentral describes it as "partial 16S ribosomal RNA". It matches the Rfam family "Bacterial small subunit ribosomal RNA", at positions 28 to 507 of the family's 1533-position model. The record is from RNAcentral.
GACGAACGCUGGCGGCGUGCCUAAUACAUGCAAGUAGAACGCUGAAGGAGGAGCUUGCUUCUCCGGAUGAGUUGCGAACGGGUGAGUAACGCGUAGGUAACCUGCCUUGUAUCGGGGGAUAACUAUUGGAAACGAUAGCUAAUACCGCAUAACAGUAGAUGUUGCAUGACAUUUGCUUAAAAGUUGCAAUUGCAUCACUACCAGAUGGACCUGCGUUGUAUUAGCUAGUUGGUGAGGUAACGGCUCACCAAGGCGACGAUACAUAGCCGACCUGAGAGGGUGAUCGGCCACAAUGGGAAUGAGACACGGCCCAGACUCCUUCGGGAGGGAGCAGUAGGGAAUCUUCGGCAAUGGACGGAAGUCUGACCGAGCAACGCCGCGUGAGUGAAGAAGGUUUUCGGAUCGUAAAGCUCUGUUGUAAGAGAAGAAAGAGUGUGAGAGUGGAAAGUUCACACUGUGACGGUAUCUUAACAGAAAGGGACGGCUAACUACGUG